GAUGAACGCUGGCGGCGUGCCUAAUACAUGCAAGUCGAGCGAACGGACGAGAAGCUUGCUUCUCUGAUGUUAGCGGCGGACGGGUGAGUAACACGUGGAUAACCUACCUAUAAGACUGGGAUAACCUCGGGAAAUCGGAGCUAAUACCGGAUGAUAUUUUGAACCGCAUGGUUCAAAAGUGAAAGACGGUCUUGCUGUCACUUAUAGAUGGAUCCGCGCUGCAUUAGCUAGUUGGUAAGGUAACGGCUUACCAAGGCAACGAUGCAUAGCCGACCUGAGAGGGUGAUCGGCCACACUGGAACUGAGACACGGUCCAGACUCCUACGGGAGGCAGCAGUAGGGAAUCUUCCGCAAUGGGCGAAAGCCUGACGGAGCAACGCCGCGUGAGUGAUGAAGGUCUUCGGAUCGUAAAACUCUGUUAUUAGGGAAGAACAUAUGUGUAAGUAACUGUGCACAUCUUGACGGUACCUAAUCAGAAAGCCACGGCUAACUACGUG
RNAcentral lists this ribosomal RNA (497 nucleotides) under uncultured bacterium. Its description in RNAcentral is "partial 16S ribosomal RNA". It matches the Rfam family "Bacterial small subunit ribosomal RNA", at positions 28 to 507 of the family's 1533-position model. The record is from RNAcentral.